GUGUCAGCAGCCGCGGUAAUACAGAGGGUGCGAGCGUUGUCCGGAAUCACUGGGCGUAAAGGGCGCGUAGGCGGUUUUUCAAGCGUGCGGUGAAAGCUCAGGGCUCAACCCUGAGUCGGCCGUGCGAACUGGAAGACUGGAGCACGGUAGAGGCACAUGGAAUUCCGGGUGUAGCGGUGGAAUGCGUAGAGAUCCGGAAGAACACCGGUGGCGAAGGCGGUGUGCUGGGCCGUUGCUGACGCUGAGGCGCGACAGCGUGGGGAGCAAACAGGAUUAGAAACCCCGGUAGUCC
Molecule: ribosomal RNA, 292 nt
Filed under: uncultured bacterium
Lineage: Bacteria
Description: partial 16S ribosomal RNA
Rfam family: Bacterial small subunit ribosomal RNA
Source: RNAcentral